UUGGAGGGCAAGUCUGGUGCCAGCAGCCGCGGUAAUUCCAGCUCCAAUAGCGUAUAUUAAAGUUGUUGCAGUUAAAAAGCUCGUAGUUGAAUUUCGGGGUCAGUAGGUUGGUCAUGCCACUGGUAUGUACUGGUCUCACUGAUUCCUCCUUCCUGAUGAGCCGUAAUGCCAUUAAUUUGGUGUUGCGAGGAAUCUGGACUGUUACUUUGAAAAAAUUAGAGUGUUUAAAGCAGGCUAACGCUUGAAUACAUUAGCAUGGAAUAAUGAAAUAGGACGUUCGAUCUUAUUUUGUUGGUUUCUAAGAUUGACGUAAUGAUUAAUAGGGAUAGUUGGGGGCAUUAGUAUUCAAUUGUCAGAGGUGAGAUUCUUGGAUUUAUUGAAGACUAACUACUGCGAAAGCAUUUGCCAAGGAUGUUUUCAUUAAUCAAGAACGAAAGUUAGGGGAUCGAAGACGAUCAGAUACCGUCGUAGUCUUAACCAUAAACUAUGCCGACUAGGGAUCGGAUGAUGUUAAUUUUUUAAUGACUCAUUCGGCGCCUUACGGGAAAC
RNAcentral lists this ribosomal RNA (549 nucleotides) under Glomus sp. VeGlo10. RNAcentral describes it as "SSU rRNA". It matches the Rfam family "Eukaryotic small subunit ribosomal RNA", at positions 548 to 1098 of the family's 1831-position model. Lineage: Eukaryota; Fungi; Glomeromycota; Glomeromycetes; Glomerales; Glomeraceae. The record is from RNAcentral.